UUUGAUGUUUAUAUUUGGUUUGGUCCUAAUUAGUAGAAUGUGUUAGAAAUGCAUGACCACAGAGGCUGGUCAUAAAUGGUGACACAGCAUUCCCCUGGCUUUGUUUCCCAGGAUACUUGCUCUUGGAGCCCACCUGCCCUGCUGGGAGGUGCUGGGAACACCUGGAGAGCCAUGUGCAGCUGUGUGGCCAGCAAUCCCAGCUUUGUUCCCAGCCAGCUGCCAGACCUGGGAGUGAGGAAGCCUUCCAGAAGACCCCAGCCUAGUCCCCAUCUGACAGCGACCUCAUGAGAUAUCCUGAGUGAGAUCUACCCAGCCGAGCCCAAUAAACCCAUG
RNAcentral lists this long non-coding RNA (333 nucleotides) under Homo sapiens (human). Its description in RNAcentral is "HSALNT0151510". Lineage: Eukaryota; Metazoa; Chordata; Mammalia; Primates; Hominidae. The record is from RNAcentral.